GCCUGGCCCAGAUCACCUUCUCGCGCUCGUGGGUGCCGCAGGGGAAGCGCUCGGGGGUCGCGGGGGCCCUGAUGCCCCUUAGGGCUCCCUCUGACCUGGGGGAGAGCUACUACGACGCCUGUGUAGAUGUCCUCACGCAGAUCGAUGCUAAGAUUAAUGACUUAAUCAGGGGUGCUCAUGAAAUCAACACUGCAGAUUUUCGUCUGAGAAAGUUCAACGGUUUAAAACAAGGAAGAAAUGUCUAGGAUGGAGAAGGCUACACGAGAUUUUAAAAGAAAACUUAUUUAUAAAUGAAGAUAAAGCUUCGGAACAGAAGCAAACAAAUUGUGAGAGAAAUAGUGUCCUAAAUAAAAUGGUAUUAUUCCCUC
Penaeus monodon (black tiger shrimp) is the source of this 368-nucleotide long non-coding RNA. RefSeq lists it as uncharacterized. The record is from RefSeq and is a predicted model, not a curated record. NCBI's taxonomy places the organism in Eukaryota, Metazoa, Arthropoda, Malacostraca, Decapoda, Penaeidae. The transcript is spliced from 3 exons.